Molecule: ribosomal RNA, 444 nt
Filed under: uncultured bacterium
Lineage: Bacteria
Description: bacterial SSU rRNA
Rfam family: Bacterial small subunit ribosomal RNA
Source: RNAcentral
CCAGACUCCUACGGGAGGCAGCAGUGGGGGAUAUUGCACAAUGGGGGAAACCCUGAUGCAGCGACGCCGCGUGGGUGAAGAAGCGCCUCGGCGCGUAAAGCCCUGUCAGCAGGGAAGAAAAUGACGGUACCUGAAGAAGAAGCCCCGGCUAACUACGUGCCAGCAGCCGCGGUAAUACGUAGGGGGCAAGCGUUAUCCGGAUUUACUGGGUGUAAAGGGAGCGCAGACGGCAGUGCAAGUCUGGAGUGAAAGCCCGGGGCCCAACCCCGGAACUGCUCUGGAAACUGUGCGGCUAGAGUACUGGAGGGGCAGGCGGAAUUCCUAGUGUAGCGGUGAAAUGCGUAGAUAUUAGGAGGAACACCAGUGGCGAAGGCGGCCUGCUGGACAGUAACUGACGUUGAGGCUCGAAAGCGUGGGGAGCAAACAGGAUUAGAUACCCCGGUA